GACCGCCGCGGCCGCCUCAGCUACAGCCAAAACAGGGCCUCUAAGGCCGUCGGGCCCACUCUGGCCGCUGGCUGCCGGUCGCCCCCCGCCUCCCCUCUCACCUGCGGGCAACGGUCGGAGCUGCCGCCGGGCGUAAGGGUUUCAAACUACCUAGGCGGAAGAAGAAGCACCUCUCUGAUAGGCUCAGCCGGCUUCUGCAAGACACUCUCUGAUUGGGCAUCUUGGCGGAAAAAUAGCCAAUUAGAGAGCAUGGACUGAGGAGAAAGGGGGUGCAAAGCCGUCCCGCCCCUCGGCUUCUAUACGUCAGCCUUUGCCGGUUCCUGACUGUCAGCGGUGCCCCGUGUUGAUUGGCCAGCUCCGUUCCCGGGGCUGGGGCGCGGGCUGUGGGCAGCUGUUGGUGGGGGCGGUGCUGAGGGACGGGCGCUGUGAAGUGGGCAGCUGCGUGGUGCUGGUGUGGGAUUGCAGGUAUCCUUGGUGACUGUAGUCCUUGGUGUUGGCCCGGCAGCCCUGGGGCAGCUCUAUGGUAUUGCUUGGCGCCCGUUGGUGAGCGCCGUAUGUGGUGGCUCAUGGGGUCUGUUCGUGCUGAGGUUUGUUUGGGAGCAGUGCCAACCCAAAAGUUUGGGUUAGCUGUGGUGAAGGGAGCUCAGAUAGGAGGUCCCCCAGGUUGAGGAAUUGCUGCUAAAAGAAUCAUAGAAUGGCUUGGGUUGAAAGAUCGUAUAGUUAGAAACCCCUGCCAUGGACAGAGUUGCCACCCACCAGAUCAGGCUGCCCAGGACCCCAUCCAGCCUGGCCUCAAGUGCCCCUAGAGACAAGACAUCCACAACCUCUCCAGGCAGCCUAUGACAGUGCCUCACCGCUUUGAGGCAAAAAUUUCUUCCUCACAUCUAACCGAAAUCUCCCUUCUUUUAGUUUAAAGUCAUUCCCUCUUGUCCUGCCACUAUCAGAAUAUGUAAAGAGAUAGUCCCUCUCCUGCUUAUGUGUACUGGAAGGCUACAGUGAGUUCACCCUGGAGCCUUCUCCAAGCUGAACAGCCGCAGUUCUCAGUCUGUCUUUGUAGGGGAGGUUUUCCAUCCCUUUGGCUCAUCUUUGUGGUUCUCUGGACCCGUUCCAAGAGCUUGGCAUCUUUUGUGCGCUGGGACCCCCAGGCCUGGAUGCAGUACUCCAGAUGGGGCCUCACGAGGGCAGAGCGGAGGGGGGAGGGGGGGGACAAUUACCUCCCUCUCCCUGCUGGCCACCCCUCUUUUGACGUAGCGCAGGGUACAGCUGGCCUUCUGUGCUGUAAGAGCACACUGCUGGCUCCUGUCAAGCUCAAGUGUCAAAUUUGUUUAUGGUAGAUAGGUGUCUGAUUGUUAGUGUCAGUACAUCCCCAUUCUGAGGAGCAUUCCUGCAUCAGUGGUUUGAACAAUAGCUGUUGCAUAUAUCCCUGGGGAGGAUUUUGUUGCAGUUACCUCUGGGCAGUAAUAAGUAGAAAUUCAACACCAAAUUUUACAGGCUUUUUUAUCGGGCACCAGGAAUCAGAGAGCCCUUCUGUUUGCUUGCCUCCAUUUAUCCUGACACCAUCUUAAUUGCUCCUUUUGUAAUGUGUGCUGUGACACAGAAAAUCCCUUCACAAUAAUCUACAGCAUACAUCUGCACCAUCUGGUACUCCAGGGCCACAGACCUCCUGGUCAAGUUCUAUAAUAUGUGAGUGUACUUUAUAUUACACCAAAAUUUUGCCUGGUAACACAAGAAAGACAGCACAGAUAUAUCCAAACAGUACACAACUGUAAUUUAUAAUUUCCCCUUUCUAACUUUUUUAGAAAGCAAUACACAUAUGUUCUAGAAUCUUUUGCACCUGUGAAACAGUUAACUCAGGAAACUAUCAGAAAUGUCACCUCUCUUGGAGGCAUUAAGUUCUUCCAAAGAAAGCCUUUUAUGUAAUAAAAGGACUCCUUUAACCUCAUUUUCCAAAACCUUUUGACUACUGCAGCAUCCUCUUAAUUGACAAUUUCACCUGAAGCUAAGCUUCACAGAGUUGAAGUGGGUAAUGUGGGGUACUUGUGCUUUUGCAGACCACUCUUAGGUUUAAGCCAUACAGAACCUGACCAAAAGCAAGAUUUCAGUUCCUCUUUCUACUUUCCGUACUGAAGUGGACGACAGUGUCUAAUUUAAGCAAUGAUGGGAAAGUCUUCCAGAACCUUCUUUCAGCUCAUUAAAAAAUACUAAAGCUUUUACUUUCAAGGAAGCCUGAAAGGAAUUGUGUUAACUAACUAACAGCUACACCAGUAUCCUUUCCUCGCUGUGUAAGAUACAUUAAUGCUAAAAUAUGUACUUUUUAGGUCACCUUUGAAAAACAUAACAAAGCCAAUCUAGUAUCUAGAUAGAUGAAUAGUUUUAAAAUGUACUGACGAUGAUUUACUACAACUAGUAGGUGGGUAGAGAUAUGAUUUUUUUUAACAGACUUUUUUCAGAGAUUUCCUGAUGAGUCUUUUAUCAUGAUAUCAGCUGUGUAUAUUUUUCACUUUUUUAUAUUUUGUCUAUUUUUAUAUAUAUUACAGUGUUCCCAGUUCUUUGUGGUGUGUUCAUGUAUUUCUUUGAUCCCCAAACCCCAAGCUUAGCACUAAUCACCACCAAGCGUCUGACAUCUGUAGACAUGAGCAUAAAACAUUUACUUACCUCAGCCAUUCCUCUCAUACAACAACAUUCUUCAUUCCUAUUUUUCUGAGAGUUUGUCUUUAAUCCCAAUCCCAAUCCCAAUUUCAGUCUGCAGCAAGUGACAAAUCAGAAUUAACAGAAAGCAUUGUCCUUUAUGAGUCUCUGUACUAGCUAUCUACACAGUGAACAUCCGUUAUCUGAGGUAUUCAGUCUUUCUUUUCUAAAGACUUAAUGAGAGGUGCUUAUUUCAUUAAUAUUAGAUGCAUUAGCAGUAAGCACUUGCUAAUAUAAAACUUUCCUUUAGCCUAGAAGUUCAAGUAGCAAGGCAAAUUUCCCAUUUAUUUUUUUCUAAAUUUCUAAGUUUAUAGGUAGGAGUGAUCAAUGUAUGAUUGGAUUUGCUGCAUAUGGGCUUUAUUGAAUUCAGUGGGGUCUAUGGGAAGGAGACAGAAGGUGGUAUCUGUAGAAAUGAUACCAGUUUCUGUUUAAGAACAGUUUGUAGAAAUAUUUGAAGUUGGGAAUUGGAAGAAGCAUCAUCAGGGGGCUAUUUGUAACUAUAAUAUCUGGUAAGAUUUACAUGGCUGUGAUAAGCAAAAACUUCAGAUAGUCUGAGUGACUCCUCAUUAUUGUGCAGUCAGUAUAUUUUGUUAAGGCUCAUGAAGUUGCUCGUUUAGGUUAGUUUCCAGAAAAGCAGAGUGAAAGACUCUGUUUGCUGGUGGACUGUUGUAAGCAAGCGGGAUAUAAGGUUUCAGAGAAACAUCUUUGUCUGUCUGUCUGUCAGUCUGAAUGUUGAUUUAUUUGCUUGUUUAUCUUCCCAGCACUGUUACUUUGUUUGAAUGCUAACUUGAAGCCGACACUCAGCUGUAAUCGUGUCUAGGUGAGCAAUGCCUGCACCAAAGCAAAGUGUAAUCAAUUUUCCCUUGCCACAGCUGGCUUUAAUGCAAAGUUCCAGCUGACAUGGGAUUUUCUAAUAAUCCAAAAUAUUCAUCCUCUUAAUUUAGUUGCUUGUUUGAUAAUUGAAAUAAAGUCAAAUGUAGAACUGUUGCAUUGUUUUGAAAUGACUGUGAUUGUUUAAUGUUUCAGCAAGGCUUGUAUUUGUCCAGUAUGUGCUAGUAGAAUGGAGCACAAUUUCACUGUUUCUGACCCCACAGUGCAAUACUGUUAUACAAAACAGAGAUGAUAUAUGCUUUUUCAUACUGUUGAUUCUAAUUUAUACUGCACACUGCUGCUGUAAAAAGUACGAAGUGUAUUCCUGCAUAAAGUGUUCUUGAAAUAAAACGUAAGACAUAGCCUUCAAA
Molecule: long non-coding RNA, 3929 nt
Organism: Gallus gallus (chicken)
Lineage: Eukaryota; Metazoa; Chordata; Aves; Galliformes; Phasianidae
Exons: 2
Source: RefSeq, a predicted model, not a curated record